Long non-coding RNA from Setaria italica (foxtail millet), 1426 nucleotides. RefSeq lists it as uncharacterized. The transcript is spliced from 2 exons. Lineage: Eukaryota; Viridiplantae; Streptophyta; Magnoliopsida; Poales; Poaceae. The record is from RefSeq and is a predicted model, not a curated record.
GGAAGACAUCCCGACCUCAUCCCUCCCGGAACGGAUCCUGGCAAGGCGAUGACGCGAGGCGGAGCUGGCGGCGCCGCGAGGUGGCGGCACGGCACAUCCCCGAUGGCCACGACUGCGACAGUGACGGCGACGACAACCGCAUCCCGUUUGACGUCCACGCUCUCCGUCCCCUUCUUGCCGGGCUUCGCCGGUUUACCUCCUGCAAGUAAUUGAUUACUUCUACAAGUUUGGAUUAACAAGACUCUCUCCUAGAUGCUACUAUAUGUUACCAGAUGCUGAGUCAUGUCAUGGUUCCUGUCAGUGAUGGAAUGGUUCAUUUGAUUAAAAAUGUUUGGUAUGCAACAACGCGUACCUGAGAAAUUCACGAUGUUUCCUAUGUUGGUAGUUAUUCAUGUUUUUCUCACUUGAUUAAAAAUUGUGUAUGGCUGAAGUUGUUUUCUCACAAAGUUUCAGUGAACAAUGUCCUGCAGCAAAUAUUUAUCUGAACAACGUGAAUUGAACAUUGUAGUUUAUGGUGACAUUGUGUAUGGCUGAAGUUUUGAACUGAAGUGACAGGAUCCAAUCCUUUGCUGCCGAACGCAUGAUAAUUGCUUGCUUAGAAGCAUUCCUGAUGGAUUAAUUCCACGCCGGGAAUGAGUGAAAGGGCCGGAUCCACUGAUUAUAUAUGAAUUAAUUAAAUUAAUUCAACUGGAGGUUGAUAGUUUAUUUGUUGGGGAAGAGUCGAUCCUUCUCAUUUCAGGAUUGAUCAUCUUGAGUUCUCUGUUGAGAAUCCCGGCCUGGAACCGUUCCUGGUCUGGAACCAUUCCUUUGCUGCCGAACGAGGCCUUAAGGGGUUUAACCAAAAAUGGUGCAGAUGGAUUGAAAAUUUUGUUUCAGGAGGGAGUGUGGGCAUCAAAGUUAAUGAUGACAUUGGGCACUACUUCUAAAAAAAAAGUCUUAGACAAGGAGAUCCUAUAUCACCAAUAUUAUUUAAUAUUGUGGCAGACAUGCUCUCUAUUUUGAUUAAGAGAGCAAAGGAAGAUGGCCAAAUUAGAGGGGUCAUUCCUCAUUUGGUGGAUGAUGGGUUAUCUAUUCUGCAAUAUGCAGAUGAUACAAUCAUAUUCAUGGAUCAUGACUUGGAGCAAGCUAAAAAUACGAAGGGUGGUGCAAGGUGCAACAGCUACGGCAUAACUGUCAAACAUGUUGUUCGAUGGUGGCGCUAUCCAGCGAUCGAUGGUUGUUUUUCGGCUGUGUCGUGCUUUGUCAUUGAAUUGUUAGUGAGUUGUGUUUCUCUCCUCUCUGUGUUGUACCCUGGUGUUGUAUCCUUAUGCUCAUGUUCUUCUGGGUGUUCAAUGGCCCAACGCUUGUAAGGUGCUUUGCACCAAAACCAUCACCGGCUAGCCCGGCAUCUGUGGUUUAAUGAAAUUCAGGUGGGACUUUUCAUCCA